RNAcentral lists this ribosomal RNA (526 nucleotides) under uncultured bacterium. RNAcentral describes it as "bacterial SSU rRNA". It matches the Rfam family "Bacterial small subunit ribosomal RNA", at positions 355 to 896 of the family's 1533-position model. The record is from RNAcentral.
UGAGGAAUAUUGCGCAAUGAGCGAAAGCUAGACGCAGCAACGCCGCGUGGACGAUGAAGGCCUUCGGGUCGUAAAGUCCUUUUCAGGGGGACGAGUGAGGACGGUACCCCUGGAAUAAGUCACGGCUAACUACGUGCCAGCAGCCGCGGUAAAACGUAGGUGGCGAGCGUUAUCCGGAUUCACUGGGCGUAAAGCGCCUGCAGGUGGUCUCGUAAGUGGGGUGUGAAAUCUCCUGGCUUAACUGGGAGGGGCCAUUCCAUACUGCGGGACUGGAGGGCAGAAGAGGGAAGUGGAAUUCCCGGUGUAGUGGUGAAAUGCGUAGAUAUCGGGAGGAACACCAGUGGCGAAGGCGACUUCCUGGUCUGCUCCUGACGCUAAGAGGCGAAAGCUAGGGGAGCGAACGGGAUUAGAAACCCCGGUAGUCCUAGCCAUAAACGAUGGAUACUAGGUGUUGGUGGUCCUAACCCCAUCAGUGCCGAAGCUAACGCGUUAAGUAUCCCGCCUGGGGACUACGGCCGCAAGGUUA